Molecule: unclassified non-coding RNA, 2089 nt
Filed under: Acromyrmex echinatior (Panamanian leafcutter ant)
Lineage: Eukaryota; Metazoa; Arthropoda; Insecta; Hymenoptera; Formicidae
Description: mini-chromosome maintenance complex-binding protein, transcript variant X1
Source: RNAcentral
AGAAGUCUUCGGCGCCACCUGGAGUGUCACAAAAGUCGCAAUUGGGGAUCCGAUGGUCUACGUUUUGCCGCCAAAUUAUUGCGCUAAAUUGUUGAUAUUUGUUGACUUGAGAAAGAGAAACGAGAAAUUUAAUCUUGUAGACUUGUCAGCUUAUAUUCAUUGAUUACGAUUUACUGGGAGAUAACACGUGUUUGCAAGAUGACAUCGGUUGAAAUAAGAGAUUGGACACCUGAAUACUAUGUUUCAAAUCAGUUGAACUGUCAGAAGAUUUUAGAAAGUCGGAAUAUACUGACAAAAAUACCUUUAUUAAAUAAUACUCAAUUGCAUGACAUCAAAGACAAAGAGUUGGUGAGAUUCCGAGGGAUGAUUCAGGAUAUGUAUGAUCCUGAGUAUUAUUUGAAGCAAUACGAAGUGAAGAACACAAGCACUGGGGAGAGUAACAUCAGAUGUGGAAUGUACAUGGAUGCAGCUCAAUGUCUGCCGCAUGAAAUGGUUUUGUUAUAUUCCAAGAAUAAUCAAACUUCGGGAAGACAAACUUACGUUGUGAUCUCUAUACCUGGAUUAAAUGACUGGGCAAAGGAAGAGAGCAUGGCCAUACAGACACCCCGUACAACGACACACAAUGACAGUACCAAUAAAAGAAGUCUAGAUGAGAACGACUUAGAGGAAAUGGACUACUCGGAACCUGUUACGAAAAAAGAGAAAGUCUCUGCAGAUAAUAAUGAUGUAAAUAUGACCGAUGCUGAAGGCAGUGCAAAAGUUCAAAGUGUGUUAUCAGAAGAUCAUAUAUUGAACUUUCCGAUACCAAUUGAUGGUGGAAAAACUUGUAUAGUAAAGAUUUACAAUGAUACCGUCUUAAAAUUGAACCAAGUUAUAGAUAUAAUAGGAUUUAUAUCGUUGGAUCCAUCAUUAAGUAUAAUUCAAAGUUCUGAUGAUGAGAUGAAUGAAGCUGAAAUACAAACUCAUAAUCCACCAGCUUCUCUAGUACCUCGAUUACAUGCAGUAAAAAUAAUUGAGCUUACAAAACCUAUAAUUAUAAAUGCUCCAGAAAUUUUAUCUAAAGCACAACUCAUCAGAGGUGAUUUGCACAUAAUAUUGAGUCAGUUGCUGUUUGGAGAUACUUUAGCUGCGGAUUACAUGAUAUGCCACUUGCUUUCUAUGAUGUAUCUGAGAAAAGAAUCGUUUAGUCUCUUUACAUUUCCGCUGAAUAUAACGAAUAUCCCAGUGAAUAAACAUAAAACUUUUCCGAAGGAGUUUUAUAACUUUUUAAAAUUAUUUGUAAAGAAAAGCUACUUUUUGGAAAUUACUUUGGAGAAUUUGAAUGAACUAGCUUUAAUUCCGAAGAAGGACUACGAAUGUAAUAGACUGACAAGUGGUAUUCUCCAACUAAGCGAUAAUACGCACCUUAUAUUAGAUGAGACAGGUUUAAACCCUGGUACACUUACUGCAACUGGCAGAGAGAAUUAUCAAGCUCUCUCCGAUUUACUUAUGUUUCAAAAACUAAAAUACGACUUUCAGUUUUAUACAAUAGAAUACGAAACGGACAUUCCGAUUCUAAUCUUUUCUGAUGCGAAAUCGUUUGUUCCUUGUCCUACGCAAGUUGUUUUAAAUGUUGAUGCAGAAACGGAAAAUUUAUAUAGCCAAGUAACUGAAGCUGCACAUCAGUAUUUGAAAGACGAUAAUCGAUUAGUUAAUAUUCGGCAAUACAUAGAAACCUUGAAGUACACAAGGCCCUUCAAUCUUACCGAAGGAAUGGCAAAAAUCAUUCAAAAAGAUUUUGUGAAGUUGCUCGGAGAACACAGGAAUCAUAUAACUAAGGACGAUCUAAACGCAAUGGUGAUUUUCGCCAAAGUUAUGGCCUUAUCUUGCGGACAAACGACGUUAGAUAUAGACUGCUGGAAGAACGUUGUGCAGUUGGAAAAUGAAAGAAUGAGUAGGCUGUCACAACGUAGAAGUUAGAAACCAUAUUCCUGUAUCAUCUUAUGCACGCGUGUGUCCUGUUUCGUCAAGCGGCUUGAGCGUACCUCUUGGAAAGCGCGACUUCUCCCUUUGCUCCUGGAAUGUGACCUGUAUAACCGACAAUUGGCGG